AUUGAACGCUGGCGGCAGGCUUAACACAUGCAAGUCGAGCGGUAACAGAGAGAAGCUUGCUUCUCUGCUGACGAGCGGCGGACGGGCGAGUAAUGCCUAGGAAUCUGCCUAGUAGUGGGGGACAACUUGCCGAAAGGUAAGCUAAUACCGCAUACGUCCUACGGGAGAAAGGAGGGGACCUUCGGGCCUUUCGCUAUUAGAUGAGCCUAGGUCGGAUUAGUUAGUUGGUGAGGUAAUGGCUCACCAAGACCGCGAUCCGUAACUGGUCUGAGAGGAUGAUCAGUCACACUGGAACUGAGACACGGUCCAGACUCCUACGGGAGGCAGCAGUGGGGAAUAUUGGACAAUGGGGGGAACCCUGAUCCAGCCAUGCCGCGUGUGUGAAGAAGGUCUUAGGAUUGUAAAGCACUUUAAGUUGGGAGGAAGAGCAGUUAACUAAUAUUUGACUGUUUUGACGUUACCGACAGAAUAAGCACCGGCUAACUUCGU
Molecule: ribosomal RNA, 489 nt
Filed under: uncultured bacterium
Lineage: Bacteria
Description: partial 16S ribosomal RNA
Rfam family: Bacterial small subunit ribosomal RNA
Source: RNAcentral